GUGAAAAUGUUCAUCUCUGUUCAUGACAAGACAAAUGGGUGUAACCAUUAAUCUAGAUUUAAUAGUUUUGAAUUCAGGGUUACGCCCUUUAAAGGAGUCGUUAAGUGUUGGACACUGUAGUCAGUGAAGCAGGAAAACACACUGGACCGAAGAAUUCUUAGCAUCCAUCACAGAUUACAAAGACCGUUUACUUGACUGAUAGCUUGAAGACCAAAUGGAAUUUAGACCUCCUCAGGUGGUUUCCACAGUUGACAGAUAAACACUGUUAUAUGGAAGCAAAUCAGACUCAUCAGAUUCUGAAUUUUAAAAGCUGCUGAAUUUCUUACUUUGAAUUUUUUGGCAUCAAAAUUAUGUAUGUGAAUUUUUUAUGCCUGAAUUUAGCUCAUCAAAAUUCUAAAAACCAGUUAAAAAUUCAAUGUCUUCAAAAUUUGCCAUCAAAAAAAUUUAAUCUCUUCAAAAUUCGCCAUCAAAAAAAUUUGAUGUGUUCAAAAUUCACCAUCAAAAAAUUCAAUGUUCAUAAUUCGCCAUCAAAAAAUUCAAUGUUAAAAAAUUCGCUGUCAAAAAAUUCGCUGUACUCAGGCGUAAACAAUCGAUCCUGGCCAAAAUCGAGCCAACGCCCAGCAAAUCACGUGGCGCUCCUCCGGUCAUGUGACGCAGACGGUUCACCUCACAAGACCGGGGUCAACCACAGCUACCAGCAUGAACGACGGCGCUUCAAUGCACAAUGAGGGACGUCUGCAGCGACUGAGAAAGAGUCUCACCACAUCCUGACAUGAGGAAAAAGACUUUAUUGAAGACUACAAUGAGAAAAACUAUCCAGACAGCAGACGGCUGCAUUCAAGGUGAGCUCUGAACAUUUGAUCUGGAACAGGAAUUCAAUAACGGCAGCAUGAGCUUCAUUUCAGUCUGUAGCUGCUGAAUUCAUGGAUGAAUCAUCUGGCACUAGAGAGCAAGACCAUCAAACAUCCAUGUCAGCUGAUGGAGGCCCAAGAGUCUCACCAAACAAACAACCUACAGAGUGAAGACCUCCAAUCUGAUUGGACGGCCUCCUAUUCAGCCACAUGUGAACAAAUGCCUCUAAGCUGAUUUGUUUUCUAAAAUAAAUCUAGUUUGUGUCCUAAUCAA
Molecule: long non-coding RNA, 1125 nt
Organism: Amphiprion ocellaris (clown anemonefish)
Lineage: Eukaryota; Metazoa; Chordata; Actinopteri; Pomacentridae
Exons: 2
Source: RefSeq, a predicted model, not a curated record